Molecule: ribosomal RNA, 278 nt
Filed under: uncultured bacterium
Lineage: Bacteria
Description: partial 16S ribosomal RNA
Rfam family: Bacterial small subunit ribosomal RNA
Source: RNAcentral
UACGGAGGGGGCUAGCGUUGUUCGGAAUUACUGGGCGUAAAGCGCACGUAGGCGGACCGGAAAGUCAGAGGUGAAAUCCCAGGGCUCAACCUUGGAACUGCCUUUGAAACUAUCGGUCUGGAGUUCGAGAGAGGUGAGUGGAAAUUCCGAGUGUAGGAGGUGAAAUUCGUAGAUAUUCGGAGGAACACCAGUGGCGAAGGCGGCUCACUGGCUCGAUACUGACGCUGAGGUGCGAAAAGCGUGGGGGAGCAAAACAGGAUUAGAUACCCCCUGUAGUC